This 286-nucleotide long non-coding RNA is filed under the name Erythranthe guttata (spotted monkey flower). RNAcentral describes it as "long non-coding RNA (EGUT_LNC001197)". Lineage: Eukaryota; Viridiplantae; Streptophyta; Magnoliopsida; Lamiales; Phrymaceae. The record is from RNAcentral.
AAACACACCAAAAGCUCCAAUUAAAAGGUACAAUUAAGUGUAUAAAUAUACACUUAACACACCCCCAAACUUGAACUUUUGCUUGUCCUCAAGUAAAAUCAAUUAAUGAGCACAAAAACGACUAUACAUCUCAUUACAUAGAUCGAUUGGUCAACUUCGCGUUUUCAGAACUUGCAAUUAUGAUGAUAAUUCCUAGGUAUUCGCAAGCUUAACAUUCAACGGCACUUAGUCACUCACUAUUACCAAAAAUCACAAAUCAUACAAUUGCUUCAAGUAUCCAAUAUUU